This 32-nucleotide non-coding RNA is filed under the name Prorocentrum micans. Lineage: Eukaryota; Dinophyceae; Prorocentrales; Prorocentraceae. The record is from RNAcentral.
GACAGUUUUUUUUUUUUUUUUUUUUUUUUUUU